AAUUGCAGGAUGUUAAGGAGCUGCAAUAUAAGAGGAACAAUCCCUGAAUAUAUAUCUAAUAUGACAAGUCUGAAACUUUUGGAUCUUAGCUUCAACAGAUUGAAAGGGAACAUUCCAAAUCUUGUGGAUAUAUGGAGAUUGGCCACAAUAUAUCUGACAAGUAACUUGCUUACUGGGCUUCCGGAGUGGAUCAAAUAUAGAGAUAGUCGCUAGUAUGUUUCUGCCUCCUAA
Non-coding RNA from Prunus mume (Japanese apricot), 231 nucleotides. NCBI's taxonomy places the organism in Eukaryota, Viridiplantae, Streptophyta, Magnoliopsida, Rosales, Rosaceae. The record is from RefSeq and is a predicted model, not a curated record.